Molecule: long non-coding RNA, 1401 nt
Organism: Oryza brachyantha (malo sina)
Lineage: Eukaryota; Viridiplantae; Streptophyta; Magnoliopsida; Poales; Poaceae
Exons: 3
Source: RefSeq, a predicted model, not a curated record
UCGCUGCGCCGACGGCGAAGCCCAAGGCGAAAGCCACGACCGCCGCCUCCCAGCGAGAAGGAUAAAAGAAUUCGGGGGUAUUUUUGUGCCCUCAAGUCGGGAAAUACGGCAAAAAAAAAACUAAGGAACGGCCGAAAUGGCAGGCAUUACAUUCUGACAAAACACUGUACUGAGGAUGGCAUAAUGUCCAAUUUCUCCCCUUCUCCUCUACUCGCCGCCCCCUCCACCACCGGCGACCCUGCCACCCGCAGCAAUCCUCAUCGCCGCCUACCCCCUCGACCCCACCGCCCAUCCCCUCCGCCGGCGGCCAUCUUGCCGCCCGUCCCCUCCACCAACGGUCACCCUGCCGCCCGUCCCCCCCGCCGUCGUUCACCCUGCCGCCCGUCUCCUCCACCGAUGACGAUCCCGUCGCCUGCCCCCUCCGCCGUCGGUCACCACGCCGCCUGCCCCUCCGUCGACGAAUAGCCCACCACCUGCCCCCUCUGUUGACGGCGACCCCGCCGCCCAUCCCCUCUGCCGUCGGAGGCCACCCAUCCACCCAUCCCCCUCGCCAUCAUCGUCUCCUCCGUUGCCUUCUCACUGCCGAAGACAAGUCCACAUGGCAGAGGAGCCAGCUUCGGCACGAUGCCUCCUGGAAAGCGUAAACUAGAAGAGGUAGCACCUCAUAAAUAUUAUGAGGUCUUGGAAUCAAUACAUUGGCUUCAAUUUUUAAGAAAUCAAGUGCAAGAAACAAGGUUCCUGAUCGUGAAGACUCUGGUUCUUUGUAUGAACCUGGAUGAGUAACGACGACAAGAUCUAAGAAGGGUAAGCACCAAAAACUGACAUUGAAGUUGUUUCUAAAGUUUUACCUAAAUCAAAGUUUGUUCAAAAUGUUGGCCUUGAGUCAUCUGCCCCAAAGAGAAGUGGCAAAGUUGUUGCUACCUGUGUUGAAGAGCUUGAAGCUAAACUUGAGGCAGAGAAGCAAGGUGCAGCAGAUGUUAGAGAAAUAGUUGAUUAUCAACAAGUUGAGUUGGAUUCCUUGAAGAAGAAGGUAGAAGAAUCAGAAGAAGGAAUGAAGCAACAGCUAGAAGAGAUUGAAAGUUUAAAGAAGUCAUCAGAUCAGACCAAUAACCUUCAUCAUUUGAUUGGCCUGAAUACCAUAAUUGCUCAGCCUCAGUAAGGUUUACUAUCUCUAUGUUGUCUUUUUCAUUCAAGAUACGAGAUGGCUGCAUUCUUUUGGUUGCUGUGCUUUUGGACAUGGUGUGAUUUAGGCAUGUCAUUCAUGGUGGACUAGACCUAUGUUGAUGUGAGGUGGCUGCAAGCUUGUGCUAUUGUGAUUUUGGAUAUAUCAAUUUGUUGAUUUAGACAUGUCUUUAUUAGUGAACUGGACCUGUGAGCUUUUUGCAAGCUCUACUGUUGUGA